Long non-coding RNA from Drosophila elegans, 189 nucleotides. RefSeq lists it as uncharacterized. The transcript is spliced from 3 exons. The record is from RefSeq and is a predicted model, not a curated record. Lineage: Eukaryota; Metazoa; Arthropoda; Insecta; Diptera; Drosophilidae.
GAGGUUUCAAAACAUCGAUGUUCGAUGUUUCCUCUUUACCCAUCACUACUUGGCAGGAAAAAAUCUUGAUUACAGUCUGAUUCCGAAAGUUUGAUAUUGGUGUUGGCGGCGCUCAGAAAUGGAGAAGGCUUUGAAAGAGCAGAAUAACAAUAUUGCCUGUCAAGAGGAAGAAAGCGACAGUACGGUCCC